UGUUCGUGUCUGUUGUUAACGUGCAAACGAAAAAAGCGAUCGUCUAGAUUGUGAAUGAACUGAAUGAUACCUCUCCAUCUUGAAGGAGUAUCUACUGAUCCACGGAAAAAGAAAAGGUGCUGUUAGAAGCCGGAAAGAAGAAAAUGCUGUGAAAGUCGCUCUUUGCAGAAUGGCUGCACCCUUGGAGGAUUGCUGUCUGAAAUAACAAACUUUCAGCGACUGGUUGAGCCAACAAGUGUUCCAGACACUCAUAGAAAUGCCAAUCCAUCCAAAGUUUACAGGUGAUGGACAUGGAGCAGAGAACCUCAGACCAGACACGGCUUGCAAACGGAUGAGGACAACCUGCGAGGAUCAACGUGCACAUCAAAUUCAGAGUGUACUGUCAGGGAGAUGAAGUGUGUUUGUCUGCAUUUCCAUACGAGCCGAGACUGCAAUCGAGUUAUACAUACACGCAGGGAAGAUAUCUGUUCUGUCAUGUUUAGGAGUGUGUGGAGUAGACCAUCUCCUGUGGUGGAGUUGCUUUCACUUGUCAGCAUGCUUGUUUAAGAACUCACCUGGCUAAAGGCUCAGAUCAUCUCCAGAUUGAAGAUUCUUUUGGGUCGAUUCUUUCUGCAUGCACAUACCCAGCAUGCUAGAGAAGGGAAAUGAGGUGGAAGGAGAUUAGCCCACCCAUUGAUCAGUGCUGCUCAGCUCUUCAUCCUGAAUUUUACUUGUAUGCUGCCUGUACAAAAGGUCGUUUUGCAUAUCAUGAUGGCAAGAUUCAGUGGCUGUGCACAUGGUAUUCUGUUCAGGUGAUCGGGGAUGUCAAUUAAAUGUUGCAAGUGAUUCCUCUUAAAGAGACAGCCACAACAAUGUUUGAAUGAGUAAGCUGAAUUCAUUUUAAGUGUUAAAAGACCCUGUCCACAUUCGAAAUCGCAUACUCUCUGAGUGAGUGCUAUUUUAAAUAAGUGAUUACUUAGUGACUGUCAAAAAACUGUCUCCUAUGUAGUAUGAAUGUUUGUGGUAUGAAUUAGGGGUGUGCGUGUGUCCUUAUUCGGAAAGGUACGGAAAAUGGCUUCAAAACAAAUAAAGGAUAACAAAUAAUUUUGCUGAAUAAUAUUUGGCUGAGGCUGGCACAUUCACUCCUCGUGUUCGCUGGAUAACAGGUGAGCCAGAGGAUCAGUGCGACAUUAUACAUAAACUUUAUGAAUUAAA
Molecule: long non-coding RNA, 1194 nt
Organism: Sinocyclocheilus rhinocerous
Lineage: Eukaryota; Metazoa; Chordata; Actinopteri; Cypriniformes; Cyprinidae
Exons: 3
Source: RefSeq, a predicted model, not a curated record